GAUGAACGCUGGCGGCGUGCCUAAUACAUGCAAGUCGAGCGAACGGACGAGAUGGUUGCUUCUCUGAUGUUAGCGUCGGAAGGGUGAGUAACAUGUGGAUAACCUACCUCUGAGACUGGGAUAACUUCGGGAAACCGGAGCUAAUACCGGAUAAUAACUUGAACCGCAUGGUUCAAGAGUGCAAGACGGUCUUGCUUUCAAGUAUCGAAGGUCCCGUUCUGCAUUAGCUAGUUGGUAAGGUAACGGCUUACCAAGGCAACGAUGCAUAGCAGACCUGAGAGGGUGAUCGGCCACACUGGAACUGAGACACGGUCCAGACUCCUACGGGAGGCAGCAGUAGGGAAUCUUCCGCAAUGGGCGAAAGCCUGACGGAGCAACGCCGCGUGAGUGAUGAAGGUCUUCGGAUCGUAAAACUCUGUUAUUAGGGAAGAAAAUAUGUGUAAGUAACUGUGCACAUCUUGACGGUACCGAAUGAGAAAGCCACGGCUAACUACGUG
This 497-nucleotide ribosomal RNA is filed under the name uncultured bacterium. RNAcentral describes it as "partial 16S ribosomal RNA". It matches the Rfam family "Bacterial small subunit ribosomal RNA", at positions 28 to 507 of the family's 1533-position model. The record is from RNAcentral.